UUCUGUGGAAAAAUUUCCAAAUUAUGGACAAUUGUCAGGGCAAAAGCUUGAAAAUCAUAGGGCAGGAGAACGGGUUGCUAUCGAUUCAAGAAAGCGUAAUCCUUCUGACUUUGCAUUGUGGAAGGCUGCGAAACCAGGUGAGCCAAGUUGGGAAAGUCCGUGGGGUCCUGGAAGGCCUGGAUGGCAUAUAGAAUGCAGUGCCAUGAGUGCUCAUUAUCUUACGUUUAAGUUUGACAUCCAUGGAGGUGGCAUUGAUUUGAUCUUUCCG
RNAcentral lists this unclassified non-coding RNA (268 nucleotides) under Hevea brasiliensis (rubber tree). Lineage: Eukaryota; Viridiplantae; Streptophyta; Magnoliopsida; Malpighiales; Euphorbiaceae. The record is from RNAcentral.